UUCAAAGGGAGGAGAAUCGGACCCCACCUUCUGGCAGGAGGCAUGGAGGUUCUACAAGAACAUGUGGGACCAGAAAUAUUGCUGAGGCCCGGUUUGGCGGGAAGUGACAAAGAGGUCACACCUACUACAACUUUCGUGUGCUAAUUCGAGGGCCGGUCUCCCCCUCCACCAGAUGGGAAGCUCUCUCAAGGACAGGACUCGCACCAAAAGACCAAACAAGCUUGACCUGUGGAAUCACAGCUUUGAUUUAAAUCUCA
Molecule: long non-coding RNA, 257 nt
Organism: Suricata suricatta (meerkat)
Lineage: Eukaryota; Metazoa; Chordata; Mammalia; Carnivora; Herpestidae
Exons: 2
Source: RefSeq, a predicted model, not a curated record